UUCCGGUUGAUCCUGCCGGACCUGACUGCUAUCGGAUUGGUACUAAGCCAUGCGAGUCGUUGUACAAUACAAGGCGGACUGCUCAGUAACACGUAGUUAACUUAACCUAUGGAUGGGCAUAACCUCGGGAAACUGAGAAUAAUACCCAAUGGACCACAGUGCCUGGAAUGGCCUGUGGUUGAAAUGAUUUAUCGCCGUAGGAUAGGACUGCGGCCUAUCAGCUUGUUGGUGAGGUAAUGGCCCACCAAGGCUAUAACAGGUACGGGCUCUGAGAGGAGGGGCCCGGAGAUGGGUACUGAGACACGGACCCAGGCCCUAUGGGGCGCAGCAGGCGAGAAACCUUUGCAAUGUGCGAAAGCACGACAAGGUUAAUCCGAGUGUCUCCUGCUAAAGGAGUCUUUUGUCAGUUGUAGAAUCACUGGUGAAUAAGGGGUGGGCAAGUUCUGGUGUCAGCCGCCGCGGUAAAACCAGCACCUCGAGUGGUCAGGAGGUUUAUUGGGCCUAAAGCAUCCGUAGCCGGUUGCAUAAGUUUU
Molecule: ribosomal RNA, 533 nt
Filed under: uncultured archaeon
Lineage: Archaea
Description: bacterial SSU rRNA
Rfam family: Archaeal small subunit ribosomal RNA
Source: RNAcentral